Molecule: small nucleolar RNA, 138 nt
Organism: Ornithorhynchus anatinus (platypus)
Lineage: Eukaryota; Metazoa; Chordata; Mammalia; Monotremata; Ornithorhynchidae
Source: RefSeq, a predicted model, not a curated record
CACCUUUCAGAGUCACACCUAUAGAGUUUCCAUUGCUCUACCAGUUUCGACUAUGGGAGGGAGAGUCAAGCAGAGCCAUAUCCAUUCCAUUCCUAGCUUGGGCAGUGGCUAGCGAGUGGAAGGCAAUCUGCUACAAGU